This is a long non-coding RNA of Poecilia reticulata (guppy), 1327 nucleotides long. RefSeq lists it as uncharacterized. NCBI's taxonomy places the organism in Eukaryota, Metazoa, Chordata, Actinopteri, Cyprinodontiformes, Poeciliidae. The record is from RefSeq and is a predicted model, not a curated record.
CUUCUCAUAAGGCUCAACAUACCCCAGUUCUCAGAGGAGCUAAUCUCACUAAGUAAUCUUAAAGAUGCGCGAGCACGGAGGGGGAAAGUCCUGGCUUCGGCACUUAAAAGAUGCACAACACAAAACUCCCAAAUACUGUAUGCAUGCAUUUAUUAAUCCUUUCUGGCAAGUAAUCUCGCAAUGUUUAUGCGCCGGGCUAAUCUUCAUUUCCUCUGCUGGGGGACCGAGGACGAGACGCCCACUCGCAGGUACUUUGAGACAACUUUUUGCUGAAGUGCUGAGGAGGCAGGCAGGUAAGCAGGCACGUCAGCAGCGGGGCAGAGGUGCUGUUAGUCUGAUGAGCAGUAAAGCUGUCAACACCAGAAUAGCUGGGAGGAGAUGCAUUUGCUCUCAUGUUUACCAAGCUAAAAAUCCGGUCCGCCUAAUAUCCACCAUGUUGUGCCAAAUGCUGAAGAACCUUUACAAGCCACAUUCUCAAACUUUAAAGAGUGAAAUAUGAUGCGGGGUGAAGCUCAACUCUCACAAGUCGAGGCAGCCGUCGUACAUCUCCUGCUGCGUUUGGAGAGCAUCCUCGGCUGUCGAGGACUGGAUUUGUUGUUGCGAUAAAGCAUGAUGAAGGUGUUUCUCUCGUACCAAAAAGUGUGAUUGGAGUCUUUCCCACUGACGUAAGCCUGAGAGGAGCGUUUUCAAAGAAAGCAGUGAUGUAAUGGAAUAUGAAGCCUCCUGCUUCUACCCCUCUGGGAUCCCUGAAACCAAACCCAACAGCUCCCUCGCUUGGUGGAAACACGGAACUACGCCAAGUGUCAGCUGCUGCUUGUGUACUCUCUGUCUUCGUGUGCACAUACCUUCCAUCUGUCCACAAGUAUACUGCUGCACAUUUCUCCUCGCCCUUUUCAUUUCAUUGUGUAAUAUUCCAUUCAGGAUGCCAGAUUGGUCCUUCAAUGAAUUGUUAUUUUCUAGACACGCAGGCAGCUCCUCUGUCAUUGUAACUGCCAAAAGCGUGAAACAUUUAUUGGACUCAAGUCCCCACUAAGGAAUCCAACGCUAAUGCUUCUCCUUCACCUCCCCUCCUCUUCUUGUCUUCCGUCCUUGUUCUCCGUCUUCAUCAAAGCGAGGAGCCACCAGCUCUCUUUGCCUCUGGGAGACCCCACAUCGAGACGCACUUUCUGUCCCAGCCUCCUCUGAAGAUGCAACUGAGAAGAAAACAGAGUUCUUUAACAGCUCUGAUGUUUCAUGGCGAGGACAUAAAGACAGAGCUUUUUUUUUCCUCAAUGACAUACGUGACUUUCUAUUUUAUAUAUAUACUGUAUAUAAAACUUUAAGAACA